UCAUAUAUAGAAAAAAGUAGUAAUUUUUUAAAAUUUCAAUCUACUUUAUUAUUUUUUAUUAUAAAAUAUAAAAUAUAUAAAUAAUUAUUAAAUAAUUUAGACUGUUGGUAUUAAAUAUAAAUGUUAAUUUUAUAAUAUUUAGCAUUCACAUAUAAAUUGUACAUAAAAAAAAAAGAUUGAUAGAGUGUAAGUUAAUUUUAUAUUUGAUGAAAAUUAAUUGCGAGAAUCACAAGUAAAGAUUUCUCUUUUCAUUUCACUAACUAUUGGGGGACUACGAUAUUUACUAAAAAUUAUUUCACUAAUUAAUACCAUGCCUACUAAAAAUUUUUUAUGUACUCAUUGCACCAUUUAUUAUUUCUCAAUCCCUUUAGACCCGUAGUCAUAUUUGAAAUAAUUAGUAUGGGUAUGGGGUAAUUUCAUUCGUACCCUCAAAAGAUUAGAAAUAUGAUAGAUAACUUUACAAAAUUAGUAAUAUUAAAGCAAACAAAAGAGAACAAGAUAAGAAAAUAUUUAAUAAAGUUGAAGAACUAUUUCAAAAUAGCUUAUUGUUGAGAGAGCUCCUUAUAUUUUUUAUAUUAGGAAAGAUAGCUGCAUUUAUUUAAAAUUGUUUCGUAAUUUGUCCAUAACAUUUUAUAAUUAUUCUGAAAUUAAUUUUUAUAACUAAUUUUCAAGAUUAAAUUUUAAAAUAACUACCCGCAAUAUCGCAUUGGUCCUUAAACUAGUUUUGAU
RNAcentral lists this long non-coding RNA (729 nucleotides) under Ananas comosus (pineapple). RNAcentral describes it as "long non-coding RNA (ACOM_LNC043788)". Lineage: Eukaryota; Viridiplantae; Streptophyta; Magnoliopsida; Poales; Bromeliaceae. The record is from RNAcentral.